GUCUAGGAACGCAGUCCCCAGUAUAGGGGACAGUGGCGGCCGGGGGCAUAGCAACUGGACCGGACAAGCUAUCCCCUGGCAAGUAAACACUGGGACACCGAACCCCCACUGUACCCACUCGUGCAGCCUGGCGUGGAUGUAUCUGGGUUGCCUCCGUUGCACUCGCCGCGAUUCAAACGGCCGACGUGCGAAACCGUAAAAAAAACAGUAUAAAAGUGGCGAAUAAAGAACGCUUUACAGAACUGCUUCACACGAGGAUAAUGGAUAACCUUGUCAAGCUAGGCCACCCAGCCAUCUUCAUCGUAAUCGGGGACUAAACGCACGACCAGGGUGCCGAUCCUUUACGCCAUCCUCGCUAAGUCGACGAUGAACACCGGCCUAAUGUGUUUUGGUGGAAGGAUUAAGUCAUAUCACUUCGACCAUAGAAAGAAGCUGGCAAUGAAUGGCGGUUGGCAAGGUGGACGUAAAAAAGGCAGACUUGUUGGAUGACAUUGAUUGGGAAUGGGAUGGACUAAGCAAGGUUCUUAAUGGAUCUUUGGGAGACCAAUGCCAUGGCACAGUUUGAGGCAUUAGUAAAUAAUCAACUGAAGCGGAGCACCUCAUACAAUCUGCAGAACUAAAAGCGCGUGCUAGAGAGGUGGAAUAUAAAGUGUGUUGGUAAACGCUGAUAGUAACUAUCGAUACGCAACUUAUCGAUAUUUUUAUCAUCCCACUGACGAUUGCUCAUCUCUAUGCCGACUUGCAAAACGCUCAGAAACUUCCGUGUCUAUGAACACUUUUUUUUUGUUUGUUUCACCAACUCUGGAUUCAACGCUGGUUAAACAGCGUCAUUGUAAGCAAAAAGAACAGGAGAUGGUGAAGAAGACAGUAGAACAGGAUACGGCUGACGACGGAGAAAGGCGUCAAGCUCAUCGUAAUUGGUCGCGAACAUGAACGAACCUGUGCGAUUACCACACCAAGUCGACGGGGAGACCGGCUGAAUGUGUUUUGGUACUAGACGAACAAUAAUGAGGCCAUAUUAAACCAAUUUUGGACACCAGCGAACACAAGAGCCACCCUGCUUAGUUCAGAAAUACGUCGGUCAAGUACACCAAUCUAGAGGGCGGACCAUAGGCAAAGAAAGGAGCCAAUAAAGAGGAAGCUUAGAUUGCUGAAGGGACAGAUUCGGCCAAGGAUCCGGAUUCCCAUUCUGAGCACCACAUUAAGAGUGGCAUGCUGCACGCCGGAAACCAAUCGAAGGAGGAGGAGCUGCAGUCGCUAAGGCUUUCCCUUGACUAAGGGACCAGAUCGCAAACAAGCUAGGCAAGCAACAGCGGAUGGAGCUCAAAAGGCUACUGGUUGGCGGACGGAACAGAACUGGCGGUAGUAGCGGGCUUUCUAUACAAAUUUGAUGGCGUGAAGUGACUGGACUGGCCGUCGGAGCAGCUUGAGAAUCGUCACAUGGCCGCACCGCUUUCAAAAAAGGGAAGGAAUUCGAAGCAGAGUCGCGGCCAGCAGAAGGCACAGAUUUAACAUGGACCACAUUGGGGCGGGAAUCAUUUAAGUAGAAAUGCAAAGGCUUAACUUCAAAAAGAAAUUAUUUUGUGGGCUUAUCUUAAUAAAAACUUGUAUCUAAAAUUUUGGCCAAAA
Molecule: small RNA, 1629 nt
Filed under: Drosophila ananassae
Lineage: Eukaryota; Metazoa; Arthropoda; Insecta; Diptera; Drosophilidae
Description: GF26308
Source: RNAcentral